This is a long non-coding RNA of Brassica oleracea var. oleracea, 393 nucleotides long. RefSeq lists it as uncharacterized. The record is from RefSeq and is a predicted model, not a curated record. The transcript has 2 exons. Lineage: Eukaryota; Viridiplantae; Streptophyta; Magnoliopsida; Brassicales; Brassicaceae.
CUCUCUGCAUCUUCAGUUUCUCUAAGUCACAGACUCAUUGUUACCAUCCUCUCUGUCGCUCAGUAUCCUUCUCCUUACAGAUAAUGGCGGUCGUGGGACAACAACAGAGGAGGAGCAUCCCAUCUACUCUAUUCUCUCUCUCUCUGAACCGUGAUGCCUCCUCUCUGUCAUGUGACGAAGUGACGCCUCCUCUCUGUUCUGGUUUCAGAGAAAGACUAGAGCAAUAGCGUAAGCUUGGAGAAUCAGAGCAAGGUGGGAGAAGACAGAGCAACGGCGUCGGAGAAGACCGAGCAGCGGCGUCGGGGAAGACAGAGCAGGGGCGGCGUUGGGGUAGACAGAGAUGGUCGCGAGCAGAGAUGGUGGUGCGGCGGGUGAGGACUGGAAGAUGAAGAA